GAUGAACGCUGGCGGCGUGCCUAAUACAUGCAAGUCGAACGAGGUGCUUUUUGUAGCAAUACGAGGAGUAUCCUAGUGGCGAACGGGUGAGUAACGCGUGGGUGACCUACCCCAAAGUGUGGAAUAACAGUCCGAAAGGAUUGCUAAUGCCGCAUGUGGUCUGCGAGUUUAGAAAUCGUUGACUAAAGGAGCAAUUCGCUUUGGGAGGGACCUGCGUCCCAUCAGCUAGUUGGUGAGGUAACGGCUCACCAAGGCUACGACGGGUAGGGGACCUGAGAGGGUGGCCCCCCACAAUGGAACUGAAGCACGGUCCAUACACCUACGGGUGGCAGCAGUAGGGAAUAUUGCACAAUGGGCGAAAGCCUGAUGCAGCAACGCCGCGUGUGCGAUGAAGGCCUUCGGUCGUAAAGCACUUUUCUGAGAGAUGAGAAAGGACAGUAUCUCAGGAAUAAGUCUCGGCUAACUACGUGCCAGCAGCCGCGGU
Molecule: ribosomal RNA, 484 nt
Filed under: uncultured bacterium
Lineage: Bacteria
Description: bacterial SSU rRNA
Rfam family: Bacterial small subunit ribosomal RNA
Source: RNAcentral